Molecule: ribosomal RNA, 500 nt
Filed under: uncultured bacterium
Lineage: Bacteria
Description: bacterial SSU rRNA
Rfam family: Bacterial small subunit ribosomal RNA
Source: RNAcentral
CACAUAAGACAUAGCAAGUCGAAACGGAAGACCGUUAUAAAUGAGAUGGAAAGAAGAUUAUCAGAUUGAAGUUGAGUUAUAACAAUGACUUAGUGGCGGACUGGUGAGUAACGCGUGAGCAACCUGCCUAUUAGAGGGGAAUAACAGUGAGAAAUCAUUGCUAAUACCGCAUAAGCUUGUAGGAAUGCAUGUUCUAGCAAGAAAAGGAGAAAUCCGCUAAUAGAUGGGCUCGCGUCUGAUUAGCUAGUUGGUGUGGUAACGGCAUACCAAGGCAACGAUCAGUAGCCGAGCUGAGAGGCUCUACGGCCACAUUGGGACUGAGAUACGGCCCAGACUCCUACGGGAGGCAGCAGUCGGGAAUAUUGCGCAAUGGAGGAAACUCUGACGCAGUGACGCCGCGUAUAGGAAGAAGGUUUUAGGAUUGUAAACUAUUUUAGACAGGGAAGAGAAAAGACAGUACCUGUAGAAUAAGCUCCGGCUAACUACGUGCCAGCCGCCGC